Molecule: ribosomal RNA, 440 nt
Filed under: uncultured bacterium
Lineage: Bacteria
Description: partial 16S ribosomal RNA
Rfam family: Bacterial small subunit ribosomal RNA
Source: RNAcentral
CUACGGGGUGCUCCAGUGGGGAAUAUUGGGCAAUGGACGGAAGUCUGACCCAGCAACGCCGCGUGGAGGAUGACGCAUUUCGGUGUGUAAACUCCUUUUAUCAGAGAAGAUAAUGACGGUAUCUGAUGAAUAAGCACCGGCUAACUCCGUGCCAGCAGCCGCGGUAAUAGCGGAGGGUGCAAGCGUUACUCGGAAUCACUGGGCGUAAAGGGUGCGUAGGCGGAUUAGUAAGUCUUGUGUGAAAUCCUACGGCUUAACCGUAGAACUGCAUGGGAAACUGCUAAUCUAGAGUGUGAAAGAGGCAGGUGGAAUUAGUGGUGUAGGGGUAAAAUCCGUAGAUAUCACUAGGAAUACCGAUGGCGAAGGCGACCUGCUGGAGCAUAACUGACGCUGAGGCACGAAAGCGUGGGGAGCAAACAGGAUUAGAUACCCGUGUAGUC